AAUAAAUUUUUUAUGGUUUAAAAAAUUUAUUUUAAAUUUAUUUUACAUAUAAAUUUUAGUGUUAAAUAUUAAUUAUUUAAAUAAUAUUUAAUUGGAUUAAGUAGUAAUUAAUUUUAAAAAUUUAAGGAAUUAAGAUUUAGUAAUAUUUAAAUUAAUAACUAAUUUUGUGCCAGCAGUUGCGGUUAUACAAAGAUUAAUUUAAAUUUUUUUAGUUAUUUAAUUAUUAAAAUAAAUAUAAUUUAAAUUUGAAAUUAUUAAGUGAAAUUUUAAUUUUAUAAAAAAUUAUAAAAUAUUUAUGAUUUAAUAAAUUUUAUUAAAAACUAGGAUUAGAUACCCUAUUAUUAAAAAUUUAAAUUUAUAAUACUAAAAUAGUAGGUAAUUAUUUAUUGAAACUUAAAUAAUUUGGCGGUAUUUUAGUUUAUUUAGAGGAAUCUGUUUAAUAAUUGAUAAUCCACGAAUAAAUUUACUUAAUUUAGAAUUUUGUAUAUCGUUGUUAAAAAAAUAUUUUUUAAUAAAAAUAAUAUUUUAAAUUUUAAAAUAAAAAUUAAAUCAGAUCAAGAUGCAGAUUAUAAUUAAGAAUAUAAUGGAUUACAAUAAAUUUAUUUAAAUUGGAUUUUAUUAUGUAAUGAAUAAAUGAAAUUGGAUUUAAAUGUAAUUUUAUUUAAAUUAAUAAAAUGAUUAAUUAUUAAAAUAUGUACAUAUUGCCCGUCGCUUUCAUUUAUAAAUUGGAAUAAGUCGUAACAAAGUAGAGGUACUGGAAAGUGUUUCUAGAAAGAA
RNAcentral lists this non-coding RNA (777 nucleotides) under Cephonodes hylas. The record is from RNAcentral. Lineage: Eukaryota; Metazoa; Arthropoda; Insecta; Lepidoptera; Sphingidae.